UAAACCACACAAAUAAUAAUAAUAAUAAUAAUAAUAAUAAAAACCAUCCAUCCACGACAGUUGCGGUGACUCUAUAAAAAAUAAAAAAUAAAAAUAAAAAAUAAAAAUAAAAAUAAUGAAAAAAAAACCACACACAAAAAACGUCACUAACUUUAGUCCAGCCAAAAUGGCGAGUACCGGUUUCCCGUUACUUUUGGCCACCCUGGCCUCACUCCUGGUCGCUCCGGUCCGGUCGGGCUGCCGCCGCGUCCCUCCGUGUUGUCCUCCCAGCUCUUAUUACCAGCAGUGGCUAUGGCAACGCCAGGAAGAAGAGACACAUCCCCGACGGCAACGACACUAUUGGGUACCACGUCCAGACAGUUCGUGCAAAUCGGUAUUGUGUGCGGUUUGAGCUGAGCUCCAUGAGCAAAGGAUGUCAGCAAAGCGCAUGUCCCCACACCCGCUGGAUGCGGCACCGCCCGCUCUCCCUGCUGGACACAAGCACUGUGGAGGAGGUGGAGGAGAUGGAGGGAUGAGUAGCGAGGAGGACAGAAACAAACCAACCUUUGACAUGAAACUGCUCGUGGCUAGGAACAAGCCAUGUCUACCACUAGAUGGCCACAUUGCUGAGCAUAUUGGAUGCAAAGUUGAAGCACCGCCUGUCUCCCCGUGCAGGAGGCAGCUUCUCCAGUGGCAGGCUGUGGGAAACCCCCAAUGUAGAGGUGUGCGGGGAGGAUGAAGGCCUGCUCCUGCCCCACGGCCCUCAGCUUCCUGUUCAUAUGACCUCCAACGCACACCAGUUUGCAGGGUGUCCUCACUGUAUGAGGGUCCCGAGAUACGACGUUUCAAGGCUAUGAAUGGCAUCCCCAGUUACUGGCGUACUUAGUGUUUUUCAUUUGCUCAUUUCAUAUCUAUGGCGUAGAAGUGCAUUUCAUACAAAAUGUUUACUGUAAUUAUGACUUUACUAGUACGUCGGUCGAAAACAGAGGACCUCCGCAGUAUGCUGUUAUUGUAUCGCCAAAUACAAAAAGUGUCAUAAAUAAUAAUGAAAACAAACAAACAAAAAAUUAUAUCACAGUCUAGGAAUACAAUUCUUGCCACCCAUAAAUACUCGUGUCACAAAUGACCAGGACAAAAAUUGUAGAAUUUGCACCAAAAUGCACUGGAAUGAGUAGAAACCUUAUAGAUAAAAAGUAAAAACAAAAACAAAACACAAAAACACUAAUAAAUAAAAACAAUAAAUACAACAAAUAAAUAAAAAUACAUACACAACAUAUUUUGGGGGUCCUUGAAA
Molecule: long non-coding RNA, 1273 nt
Organism: Phyllopteryx taeniolatus (common seadragon)
Lineage: Eukaryota; Metazoa; Chordata; Actinopteri; Syngnathiformes; Syngnathidae
Exons: 5
Source: RefSeq, a predicted model, not a curated record